GACGAACGCUGGCGGCGUGCUUAACACAUGCAAGUCGAACGGAAAGGCCCUGCUUGCAGGGUACUCGCGUGGCGAACGGGUGAGUAACACGUGGGUGAUCUGCCCUGCACUUCGGGAUAAGCCUGGGAAACUGGGUCUAAUACCGGAUAGGAGCCAUUUUUAGUGUGAUGGUUGGAAAGUUUUUUCGGUGUAGGAUGAGCUCGCGGCCUAUCAGCUUGUUGGUGGGGUAAUGGCCUACCAAGGCGGCGACGGGUAGCCGGCCUGAGAGGGUGGACGGCCACAUUGGGACUGAGGUACGGCCCAGACUCCGACGGGAGGCAGCAGUGGGGAAUCUUGCACAAUGGGCGCAAGCCUGAUGCAGCGACGCCGCGGGGGGGAGGACGGCCUUCGGGUUGUAAACUCCUUUCGCUAGGGACGAAGCUUUUUGUGACGGUACCUAGAGAAGAAGCACCGGCUAACUACGUG
This 465-nucleotide ribosomal RNA is filed under the name uncultured bacterium. RNAcentral describes it as "partial 16S ribosomal RNA". It matches the Rfam family "Bacterial small subunit ribosomal RNA", at positions 28 to 507 of the family's 1533-position model. The record is from RNAcentral.